UCCUACGGGAGGCAGCAGUGGGGAAUAUUGCACAAUGGGCGAAAGCCUGAUGCAGCGACGCCGCGUGGGGGAUGACGGUCUUCGGAUUGUAAACUCCUUUCAGUAGGGACGAAGCGAAAGUGACGGUACCUGCAGAAGAAGCACCGGCCAACUACGUGCCAGCAGCCGCGGUAAUACGUAGGGUGCAAGCGUUGUCCGGAAUUACUGGGCGUAAAGAGCUCGUAGGCGGUUUGUCACGUCGUCUGUGAAAUCCUCCAGCUCAACUGGGGGCGUGCAGGCGAUACGGGCAGACUUGAGUACUACAGGGGAGACUGGAAUUCCUGGUGUAGCGGUGAAAUGCGCAGAUAUCAGGAGGAACACCGGUGGCGAAGGCGGGUCUCUGGGUAGUAACUGACGCUGAGGAGCGAAAGCAUGGGGAGCAAACAGGAUUAGAUACCCUGGUAGUCCAUGCCGUAAACGGUGGGCGCUAGGUGUGGGGUCCUUCCACGGAUUCCGUGCCGUAGCUAACGCAUUAAGCGCCCCGCCUGGGGAGUACGGCC
RNAcentral lists this ribosomal RNA (539 nucleotides) under Dietzia natronolimnaea. RNAcentral's name for it is "bacterial SSU rRNA". It matches the Rfam family "Bacterial small subunit ribosomal RNA", at positions 337 to 887 of the family's 1533-position model. The record is from RNAcentral. Lineage: Bacteria; Bacillati; Actinomycetota; Actinomycetes; Mycobacteriales; Dietziaceae.